UGGUGUGAAGGGAGCGGAGGCUGCGCCGCGGAGCGAAGCGAGCUAGAGGGUGAGAAGCGCCGGGCCCGACCAGAACCGUCUUCGCUUUUCCCUGUGCGAUUGCUCUGGCUGGUUACUUCGAGCCUUCCUUCUCAGCGCCGCAGGAGAGACUCCACAGCAAGAAUGACUGUGUCCUGGGUUCAGCCCCCACUCUUCUGGGAGCUUCCCCCGGUUUCUGCACUUGAGGAAUGUCUUCCCAGCGAAAGGUUCUUAGGAGCGGGGAGCGACAAAGAAAGAGAAAGAAAAGCAGACCUGAAAAUUGGGACCUGGGAGAAAUGGGAACUCAAACCAAAAACAGGAAUCAGCCUUGCUAAUUAGUGCUGAGUGGAUCAGGGACUAACCAGAAUCAGGCAACAAGAAAAUAGACAAGUGCUCUAAACCAGUAUCAUGGCUUUAGUUCCUCUGACAAGGAUUCACAUAGGG
Molecule: long non-coding RNA, 462 nt
Organism: Mandrillus leucophaeus (drill)
Lineage: Eukaryota; Metazoa; Chordata; Mammalia; Primates; Cercopithecidae
Exons: 3
Source: RefSeq, a predicted model, not a curated record